AUUGAACGCUGGCGGCAGGCCUAACACAUGCAAGUCGAACGAGUGGCGGACGGGUGAGUAAUGUCUGGGAAACUGCCCGAUGGAGGGGGAUAACUACUGGAAACGGUAGCUAAUACCGCAUACCAUCGGAUGUGCCCAGAUGGGAUUAGCUAGUAGGUGGGGUAAAGGCUCACCUAGGCGAUGAUCCCUAGCUGGUCUGAGAGGCGGACCAGCAACACUGGAACUGGAACACGGUCCAGACUCCUACGGGAGGAAGCAGUGGGGAAUAUUGGACAAGGGGCGCAGGCCUGAUGCGGCCAUGCCGCGUGUAUGAAGAGGGCCUCCGGGUUGUAAAGUACUUUCAGCGGGGAGGCGUUACCCGCAGAAGAAGCACCGGCUAACUCCGUGCCAGCAGCCGCGGUAAUAC
This 406-nucleotide ribosomal RNA is filed under the name uncultured bacterium. RNAcentral's name for it is "partial 16S ribosomal RNA". It matches the Rfam family "Bacterial small subunit ribosomal RNA", at positions 29 to 526 of the family's 1533-position model. The record is from RNAcentral.